This 640-nucleotide long non-coding RNA is filed under the name Pan troglodytes (chimpanzee). RNAcentral's name for it is "lincRNA". Lineage: Eukaryota; Metazoa; Chordata; Mammalia; Primates; Hominidae. The record is from RNAcentral.
UUAAUACUGGCAUUGCUCUUGGGAGCCAAGGAGUCCUAGACGACUGAAUUCUGCUGUGAGGUCUGUAGCUCAGGGAGAAGAUGAGACAAGUGGACUUGGAAAGAACAAUCUUCCUCGAAAAAGUCCUCAGGGUGCAAAGAGGAGAAAUGCAAUAAAAUGAUAAUGAGGAGGCCCAGGACCCGCACAAGGGCACCACUGCAAGUAGAUACUUCGAGGAAACUUCCUGAUGCUUGUCCAGCCCUUGGUGGUGGUGCCCGGCAGCCCGUAUUCUUAUCCCAAAGCAAUAUGUGUGGAGACAGCCCUGCAAAAGCUGAGAGAUUGUGUGUCCAGAGACAUGUUCCAGGAAUGGAAACUGAGAGUGGAGGAGUUUCCUUCUCUCCUCCUGUCUCCCGCUAAAGUGGGCGGUCCCUUUGGUGUCAUCGCACUGUCUUCAUAGCCUACUGCGCUCCAGGCCUGUGCGCCCAUGGCGGUCUUGGACCACGAGUGAGCCAUGAGCCCUCCCAAGCCCCAAGGCCAGGUCUGAAGCGGGCUGGUGUGUGCCCCUGGCUUUGUUGCCCAGAUCCUCACCACAAUCCCAGCAUCCCACCACUCUACUGCGAGAAGAGACAAGGGAGGAGAUGCACACCUCAGAGAAGGAGCA